RNAcentral lists this long non-coding RNA (236 nucleotides) under Mytilus galloprovincialis (Mediterranean mussel). The record is from RNAcentral. Lineage: Eukaryota; Metazoa; Mollusca; Bivalvia; Mytilida; Mytilidae.
UCUCAAUCAAUUUUGUGCUUAAAAUCUGUAAAAUAUGACAUAAUUUGCUUGAUUUUGCACCGAAAUAACUCCCAAAACGUCUGAAAAAUGUUGAAUUUUGACCUCCGGUUGAAGUAUUUAUUAUGUAAACAAGACUCAGAGUGACGGGGAAUCCUGUACAUAGUCAUGUGCCCAUAUGUUUCUAGGUCACAUUUAUUUAUAUCUCGACCAAUGAAAAGCUUUAGGAUGCAUUUGUG